AAUGAAGGAAUUGCUUGGACAACACUUAAUACUUUAACUAUUAUCAACGCAUACUUUGGUUUGGAUUUAUUCCUAGGUCUUUUCCAUUUGGUGGUACACAGAGCUCAGGCGUUGAAGAGAUUGUGCAUCAAGUUCCCUCCGACACCCAAAAGCCUCUGCCAUAUGCUCGCAGGCACUUUUUGUUUCCUCCCUGAGUAUUGAAGAAUAUAAUGAUCGUGUAAUGGCAGUAUUAUGCUGUGAAGCACAAGGAUGUUCUUUGCUGGGAAAGAAUAUCAUCUCUGGUAAAACAUGGA
Molecule: long non-coding RNA, 293 nt
Organism: Pistacia vera
Lineage: Eukaryota; Viridiplantae; Streptophyta; Magnoliopsida; Sapindales; Anacardiaceae
Exons: 3
Source: RefSeq, a predicted model, not a curated record